RNAcentral lists this ribosomal RNA (625 nucleotides) under uncultured Cadophora. RNAcentral describes it as "eukaryotic LSU rRNA". The stretch from base 261 to 414 matches the Rfam family "5.8S ribosomal RNA". The record is from RNAcentral. Lineage: Eukaryota; Fungi; Ascomycota; Leotiomycetes; Helotiales.
UCUUGGUCAUUUAGAGGAAGUAAAAGUCGUAACAAGGUUUCCGUAGGUGAACCUGCGGAAGGAUCAUUAAUAAACCUAGUCGUUCGCGUACAUAGGGGCAACCCUCGCGUGAUGUCAGCAAUACCUAGGUAACCCUUGAAUAAACUACCCUUGUUGCUUUGGCGGGUCGCCUUUCAGGCCAGCGGCUUCGGCUGCUGCGUGCCCGCCAGAGGACCACAACUCUUGUUUUUAGUGAUGUCUGAGUACUAUAUAAUAGUUAAAACUUUCAACAACGGAUCUCUUGGUUCUGGCAUCGAUGAAGAACGCAGCGAAAUGCGAUAAGUAAUGUGAAUUGCAGAAUUCAGUGAAUCAUCGAAUCUUUGAACGCACAUUGCGCCCUUUGGUAUUCCGAAGGGCAUGCCUGUUCGAGCGUCAUUAUAACCACUCAAGCCUUCGCUUGGUAUUGGGGUUCGCGGUUCCGCGGCCUCUAAAAUCAGUGGCGGUGCCUGUCGGCUCUACGCGUAGUAAUACUCCUCGCGUCUGGGCCCGGUAGGUUGCUUGCCAACAACCCCCAAAUUUUUUACAGGUUGACCUCGGAUCAGGUAGGGAUACCCGCAUGAACUUAAGCAUAUCAAUAAGCGGAGGG